Molecule: non-coding RNA, 913 nt
Organism: Phascolarctos cinereus (koala)
Lineage: Eukaryota; Metazoa; Chordata; Mammalia; Diprotodontia; Phascolarctidae
Source: RefSeq, a predicted model, not a curated record
AUGGACCUGGGAGAAAGAGUUUGUGCUGAAGAGCUAGACCAUGUUUGGGAGAAGCAAUUUCCUAUGCUCCUAGGAAUUAUGAUGCAGCUACACAGGAAACCUAAGACUAGGUCAGAAAGGGAUACUUGGAAGAAUCACAGGACUCCAGCCGGGUAUUGGCCUGACGUUGAUCAGGCCCAGGUUGCGGUCACCAAUUCAAGGGCUGGGGUGUACGUCAGGGUUGACCCACGCCGGCUGUGUCCUCCUCUCCCCCGCCCCCAGCACUUCACGGAGCAUGUUAAACAUGAGUGUCACUUUGUGAACGGGACGGAGCCCGUGUGGUACGUGCAGAGAUUCAUCUACAACCGACAGGAGUUUGUGCGCUUCGGCAGAGACGUGAUGAAGUUUGUGGCGGUGACGGAGGUGGGGCGACCCGAUGCUGAAGAUUGGAGCAGCCGGAGGGAUGCCCUGAGAGCUAUCGGGCUACAUGGACGCUUACUGCAGACGCCAACUACGAGCUGAGCCCGAGGCGAUUGUGUAUCCAUCAAAGAUGGCCCCUCUGGGACACCACAACCUGCCUGCUCUGCCAGUGGUUUCUAUCCCGGUAACACUGAGGUCCGGUGGUUUCUGAAUGGACAGGAGGAGACAGCUGGUGUUGUGUCCACAAGCCUGAUCAGCAAUGGAGACUGAACCUACCAGAUCCUGGCGAUGCUAGAAAUGACUUCAGGGGAAUGUCUACACCUGCCAAGUGGAGCACUCCAGCCUUCAGAGAACUGUUGACUGGAAAGCACAGUCUGAAUCUGCCCAGAGAAGGAUGCUGAGUGGAGUUGGGGGCCUCCUGCCGGGGCUAAUCUUCUUUAGGGUUGGCUUCAUUGUCUGUAAGAGGAGUCAGAAAGGAAAUCGUGGUUCACAACCAGCAGGGUACCUGAGCUGA